Molecule: long non-coding RNA, 757 nt
Organism: Musa acuminata subsp. malaccensis (wild Malaysian banana)
Lineage: Eukaryota; Viridiplantae; Streptophyta; Magnoliopsida; Zingiberales; Musaceae
Source: RefSeq, a predicted model, not a curated record
CUUCUCCUUAAUGCGGCCGGGAACGCGGCCAGGUUCGUUUCGAAGGAUCGCUAGCUUCAUUCCUUCUUCCGAUAUUAAUCCCAGGUGGCGCUUGGAUGACGACCGAAACCGAAAGGCGCCACGUACUAUAUUCCUCCCCCUCUCCGUCUCCGACUCCUGUUCUCUUGCCCACCUCUUUCCCUUCUCUCCGUCACUGCCUCUUCGUUUCUCGGGGCGAGAUGGCCCGAUUCGGUGGAUGGAUUCGGUUCUUGAUGUUGUUCCUUCGAGUUCUCAUGGAGAGGCCCGUCCAGAAUGAGAUCCAGCUCGACUUCUGAUCUCAGGUGGAAGACGAUGAUGUUGAGGGGAAGACGCUGAUGCUCCGAAAGAAGCAAGCUUGAAACUGAAGUAGACUCAAGGUUGCGGCCAUCAAAGCAAGCAGAGAGAUCCGACAUGUCAUUCUUCUUUUUAGAUGUACAAACUGAAGCCACAAACAGGGAAAUUAUCCAUGUGGUUAAUUCAAUAUGCUAGGUUUUUCUUUUUCCUUCUUUUUGGAAGAUGCCUAUCCUCCUGGAAUCCUUUCUACCUCGAGCUCUGUUGAGCAGGACUCUAAAGUUCUGUCUUGAUCUAUAGCUUGUUUAGGAGGAGCAGAUUGAGCCAACCAUCUACCCUUAUUUUCUGCAAGCUAGUUGAUAGAUUAUGCUGUGUAUCAGUUAUAUUCUUCCAAGCAUUCAUGUUUUUGAGUAAGCAAUAUAGUCCUUUUUCUUCUUUUUCUCUUCAA